AGCGGUGAGCACUGUUAGGGUGAACACGCGACCGCGUGGCCGACGGCACUGUCAGCGCCCCGUUACGGUCAUCACUGGAAACAUUGCGCAUGCGCAUCACGCCUUCCGCGAAAUAAUUGUUCCACCGCGCGCAUGACGUCAUGAAUGCACUUGUUCGUCGUCUGCUAGCCGCAUUUUUGUUUUCUAAGCCCAUGCAUCCUGCAUUUUAAGACUUCUUUAAACAUCUGUGCUUGAACAGAACAAGACAAAAAAAAAAAAAACUUGUAUAUCUAUGGGGGCGUGUCUAUUCGUUCCCUUCAAAGUUGUUGUGCAUGCAACGCCGUAUAUAAAACAACCAAACAUCUUUCGCAGCCGUUCAUUCUGUCGCCAGAUCGUAUUAUGGCUAGGGUUCCCGAUGAUGAACGGCGCUCAAUUGUCGAUCUUUCCCUGAAAGGUUAUUCCCAGCGGUAUAUUGGCGCUUUUGUUAAUAGGCCCCUGAAGACUGUGAACAGGAUAAUUCAAGCCUACAAGUAUGAAGGUCGCAUUCAGGAUGCACCCCGCGCGCCCCGCCCUAAAGCUACCACAGACGAUGAAGACGCCCUCAUAGUUGCAGCUGCUGUUCGUAACCCUUUCUUGCCAGCCCCAGCAAUACGCGAGGACUUGGAUUUGGACGUUUCGGACACCACUGUUCGACGUCACCUGCGUACUGCGGGCCUUCGCAGUCGCGUCGCAGCGCAGAAGCCAGUACUAACGGCGGCAAACAAGGACGCACGACGGCAGUUCGCUGAGCUCCACGAAGCAUGGACAUCAGAAGAGUGGGGUCGCGUCAUCUUUUCGGAUGAGUCGUCGUUUUAGACGCGACAAGACCAAAGAUUGCGUGUUUGGAGACUACCAGGCACACGGAACGACCCGGACAACGUGCAAGGUGUUUCUGCCAGUGGGAGAUCGAGUGUGAGCGUGUGGGGUGCUGUUUCAAGAUAUGGUUUAGGGCCCCUGCAACGUAUACAUGGACACUUAUCGUCGGAACAAUACUGCAACAUUUUGAACAAUGUGCUGUUGCCAUAUGCGAGCAGUUUAUUCCCAGACGGUGAUUACCUGUUCCAACAGGACCGGUCACCGAUACACACGGCGCGGGCUGUCAAGGAGUUCCAGGCGGAGCAGCACAUGCAGCUACUGGAAUGGCCUCCGAAAGGAGCGGACCUGAAUGUGAUAGAAAACGUGUGGGGCCGUCUGAAAGCUUCUUUGGCAAGGAAGCCCCUUUAUUCCCCGACUUCGGACCAGUUGUGGGCGCAAGUCAGCAACGAGUGGGAAAGGCUGAAAGCCGAUCGGGAAUAUGUUCGAUCACUUUACGACUCGUUACCGUCCAGAAUAGCUGCAGUCGUUGCUGUAAGUGGUCACAUGACUCGCUAUUAGAUUUGUCAUGUUUUAUAUUUGUUCUCAUGGUCUUGUUUAACUUGAAUUGCAAAAGUGCAAUUUUCUUGAAUAAAAAGUUUAAUAAUUA
Long non-coding RNA from Rhipicephalus sanguineus (brown dog tick), 1480 nucleotides. RefSeq lists it as uncharacterized. Lineage: Eukaryota; Metazoa; Arthropoda; Arachnida; Ixodida; Ixodidae. The record is from RefSeq and is a predicted model, not a curated record. The transcript is spliced from 2 exons.